UCACAGUUUGAUUCUAGCUGUAUUGUCUGUAUGUGUGAAAAACCAGAUACAUGCAAGAAAUUCCGUCCCCAUAAGUAGGGAGUAUGAAGCGCCCAGUAACUUAAAGUUCCCAGGUCUCUUCACACCUUCUCGCCGUUUCAGAUUCUAUUCAACAACGCGCAUCUAACUUUAUGCCUGCAGUACUAAAUUCUGUAACAAGUAAGGCAACUUAGCUUCGGUUAUUCACACCCUAGGACCGGUAAAAUUCGUGCCAGCGACCGCGGUUAAACGAAAUGUCCAAAUAGAUUAAACCGGCAUCUGUGGUAAGUGCCCAUAAUGACACUAAUAAAAAGUUCCAAGGGGUGCAAUCUGACCAACUAUAAUUUUUCCAUCCAAUGUCAUUUUCACAAACCCACUAAAGCUUAGACCAAAACCAGGAUUAGAUACCCAAUUAUUCUAAGCCUCUAACCAUUGCCAGGGUAGUACGGACACAUGUCUAAAACCCAAAGAAAUUGGCGGCAUUCUAACGUCUCAGGGGAAUCUGUCCUUUAAUUCGAUGAUCCGCGAAUAUCAUACUCUCUCUUGAAUAUACAGCCUAUGUAUUGCCGUCUUCUCUGUUGACCCCUCAAGGGAACAAAAGUCAGCUCAAAGGCCUAUUAAUUUUAAUAAGCCUCAAAGUCAGGUCAAAAUAUAGCCAAUGGGAGAGAAGAGAUGGAUUACAUUUACCCACAACGCCACAUCCCACAUGAAACCGUGGAAUAAAGCAGGACUUGAAAGUAAGAAUAAACACAAAAUAUUAUUCUGAAUUCAGCAUCUAGAAUGAGCACAAAUCGCCCGUCACCCUCGCCGAAAGGUGAGGUAAGUCGUAACAUAGUGGGCGUAACGGAAGUUGCGCCCAACACAAA
RNAcentral lists this non-coding RNA (884 nucleotides) under Paralvinella hessleri. Lineage: Eukaryota; Metazoa; Annelida; Polychaeta; Terebellida; Alvinellidae. The record is from RNAcentral.